CAGCUCCUCAGCUUUCAGCCAGGGCAGAGGAGGGCAGAGUGUUGGCCGUCUGUUCUCGUUCCCAGGAUGGAUUCACUGUGCUGAACUUUACCCCUGUGGCUUCUCUCAAAAUGCCAGUUACCGCUCCACCUCCCCCUGUCGUCUGCCAGCCGCCAUGCCAAUCCAAACACACUGGGCCUCUCCAGACUGAUCCAGAGCAUGAUUUCAGAAAGAAGAGAACCCUUUCCCCUUAUUUUUCCUCCUUCUCAUGCCCAAACUCUCCCACCCUUUCCUCCCCCCCUCUCCCUCUCCCUCUGUCUCACUGUGUCUUCCAAAGAGUAACGUUCAGGGAGAGCUGAGCAGAGCAGAAGGGAGAGGGAAGGAAACGAAAGGGGGGGAGCAGGGGAGGGAUGGAUGGAUGGA
Long non-coding RNA from Labrus mixtus (cuckoo wrasse), 402 nucleotides. RefSeq lists it as uncharacterized. The transcript has 2 exons. Lineage: Eukaryota; Metazoa; Chordata; Actinopteri; Labriformes; Labridae. The record is from RefSeq and is a predicted model, not a curated record.